GUAUUUUAAAUAAGGGCAACACAUAUACCAAAAUUGGAGCAAUACAGAGAAGAUUAGCAUGCCCUGGGCCAGGAUGACAUGCAAAUUCAUGAAGCAUUAGAAAAAAAA
This is a small nuclear RNA of Colobus angolensis palliatus, 108 nucleotides long. Lineage: Eukaryota; Metazoa; Chordata; Mammalia; Primates; Cercopithecidae. The record is from Ensembl.